This 76-nucleotide transfer RNA is filed under the name Clostridia bacterium. RNAcentral describes it as "tRNA-Thr". It matches the Rfam family "tRNA". From Rfam's summary of the family: Transfer RNA (tRNA) molecules are approximately 80 nucleotides in length. Lineage: Bacteria; Bacillati; Bacillota; Clostridia. RNAcentral also lists the same sequence under 1 other name. The record is from RNAcentral.
GCUGAGGUAGCUCAGUUGGCAGAGCAGCUGAUUCGUAAUCAGCAGGUCGAGGGUUCAAGUCCCUUCCUCAGCUCCA